UUGGAGGGCAAGUCUGGUGCCAGCAGCCGCGGUAAUUCCAGCUCCAAUAGCGUAUAUUAAAGUUGUUGCAGUUAAAAAGCUCGUAGUUGAAUUUCGGGGUUAGUAGGUUGGUCAUGCCUCUGGUAUGUACUGAUCUCACUGAUUCCUCCUUCCUUAUGAACCGUAAUGCCAUUAAUUUGGUGUUGCGGGGAAUUUGGACUGUUACUUUGAAAAAAUUAGAGUGUUUAAAGCAGGCUAACGCUUGAAUACAUUAGCAUGGAAUAAUGAAAUAGGACGUUCGAUCUUAUUUUGUUGGUUUCUAGGAUUGACGUAAUGAUUAAUAGGGAUAGUUGGGGGCAUUAGUAUUCAAUUGUCAGAGGUGAAAUUCUUGGAUUUAUUGAAGACUAACUACUGCGAAAGCAUUUGCCAAGGAUGUUUUCAUUAAUCAAGAACGAWWKUUAGGGGAUCGAAGACGAUCAGAUACCGUCGUAGUCUUAACCAUAAACUAUGCCGACUAGGGAUCGGAUGAUGUUAAUUUUUUAAUGACUCAUUCGGCGCCUUACGGGAAAC
This 549-nucleotide ribosomal RNA is filed under the name uncultured Glomeromycotina. RNAcentral's name for it is "SSU rRNA". It matches the Rfam family "Eukaryotic small subunit ribosomal RNA", at positions 550 to 1109 of the family's 1831-position model. Lineage: Eukaryota; Fungi; Glomeromycota. The record is from RNAcentral.